AACAAUAUUACUAUUUAAUCAAUAUCACGUUUGCACUGGUUCGGUUCAGCAGUCAAACGACACCGAAUCGGAUUGAACCGGAUUGAACCGUUUGCUCGGUUUAUGCUUGAAUUAUUUUAACACACGUGUUCACAAGCAUAUUCAGCAAUAUGCACUUAGUGUAUAAAUGCGUAUGGCCGAGCAGUAUAACGAAAUAGUAAUGAUUCAUUGUUGUGUCUUACAAUAAUAUACUAAAAGGUUUUAGGCGGAUUCGACUCUUUACUGUUCUAAGGAGCCGAUUCAUAGAACCGAGCUGACUCGAUUCGACCUUCACCAGGCAAGCAACGGCUCUCCUUAUUUGAAAUCCACCUGUCGCCUUUUCUUCCUGUGAAUUCAUCCUCGUUGUAGGUUCUAAUGUCACGUAAUUCGACGCCAGACCGUGAUUGUAGUGUUUGCGAGCACAACACUGAAAUGAAGGCAAAGUCACCAUGAAAAGU
Molecule: non-coding RNA, 476 nt
Organism: Danio rerio (zebrafish)
Lineage: Eukaryota; Metazoa; Chordata; Actinopteri; Cypriniformes; Danionidae
Source: RefSeq, a predicted model, not a curated record